CCUACGGGGGGCAGCAGUGAGGAAUAUUGGUCAAUGGGCGAGAGCCUGAACCAGCCAAGUCGCGUGAGGGAAGACGGUCCUAUGGAUUGUAAACCUCUUUUGCCGGGGAGCAAAAAGCGGUACGUGUACCGCAUCGAGAGUACCCGGAGAAAAAGCAUCGGCUAACUCCGUGCCAGCAGCCGCGGUAAUACGGAGGAUGCGAGCGUUAUCCGGAUUUAUUGGGUUUAAAGGGUGCGUAGGCGGGAUGCCAAGUCAGCGGUAAAAAUGCGGUGCUCAACGCCGUCGAGCCGUUGAAACUGGCGUUCUUGAGUGGGCGAGAAGUAGGCGGAAUGCGUGGUGUAGCGGUGAAAUGCAUAGAUAUCACGCAGAACUCCGAUUGCGAAGGCAGCAUACCGGCGCCCUACUGACGCUGAGGCACGAAAGCGUGGGUAUCGAACAGGAUUAGAUACCCUAGUAGUC
RNAcentral lists this ribosomal RNA (459 nucleotides) under uncultured bacterium. RNAcentral describes it as "partial 16S ribosomal RNA". It matches the Rfam family "Bacterial small subunit ribosomal RNA", at positions 338 to 795 of the family's 1533-position model. The record is from RNAcentral.